Molecule: ribosomal RNA, 486 nt
Filed under: uncultured bacterium
Lineage: Bacteria
Description: bacterial SSU rRNA
Rfam family: Bacterial small subunit ribosomal RNA
Source: RNAcentral
AGCGAACGUUUGCGGCGGGCCUAACACAUGCAAGUCGAACGCACUAGCAAUAGUGAGUGGCGCACGGGUGCGUAACACGUGGGUAAUCAACCCUUCAGCCUGGGAUAACGACUCGAAAGGGUCGCUAAUACCGGAUACGGCGCGAGAGGCUUCGGCUUCUCACGAGAAAGCCACGCAAGGGGCACUGAAGGACGAGCCUGCGGCCCAUCAGCUAGUUGGUGAGGUAAGAGCUCACCAAGGCUAAGACGGGUAGCUGGUCUGAGAGGAUGAUCAGCCACACUGGAACUGAGACACGGUCCAGACUCCUACGGGAGGCAGCAGUGGGGAAUAUUGCGCAAUGGGGGAAACCCUGACGCAGCAACGCCGCGUGAGUGAGGAAGGACUUCGGUCUGUAAAGCUCUGUUAAUGUGGAAAAAUGGUAGUUGGUCUAAUAGGCCGAUUAUUUGAUGGUACACAUAGAGGAAGCACCGGCUAACUUCGUGCCAG